This 1462-nucleotide ribosomal RNA is filed under the name uncultured Bordetella sp. RNAcentral describes it as "partial 16S-23S ribosomal RNA intergenic spacer". It matches the Rfam family "Bacterial small subunit ribosomal RNA". The record is from RNAcentral. Lineage: Bacteria; Pseudomonadati; Pseudomonadota; Betaproteobacteria; Burkholderiales; Alcaligenaceae.
AGUUCGAUCAUGGCUCAGAUUGAACGCUGGCGGGAUGCUACACAUGCAAGUCGAACGCGGCAGCCUGGACUUCGGUCUGGUGGCGAGUGGCGAACGGGUGAGUAAUGUAUCGGAACGUGCCUAGUAGCGGGGGAUAACUACGCGAAAGCGGCAGCUAAUACCACAUACGCCCUUCGGGGAAGCGGGGACCUUCGGGCCUCGCACUAUUAGAGCAGCCGAUAUCGGAUUAGCUAGUUGGUGGGGUAACGGCUUACCAGGCGACGAUCCGUAGCUGGUUUGAGAGGACGACCAGCCACACUGGGACUGAGACCCGGCUGAACUCUACGGGAGGCAGCAGUGGGAAUUUUGGACAAUGGGGAAACCCUGAUCCAGCCAUCCCGUGUGCGAUGAAGGCCUUCGGGUUGUAAAGCUUUUUGGCGAAGAAACGGCCUGGAUAACCACCGAUGCAACUGACGGUACCUGCAGAGUCAGCACCGGUAACUACGUGCCAGCGGCGCGGUGGCGGGUGCAAGCGUUAAUCAGAUUUUUGGGCGUAAAGCGUGCGCAGGCGGUUCGGAAAGAAGAUGUAAAUCCCAGGCUUAACUUUGGAACGCCAUUUUUUUAACUGCAAAGCUAAAGUGUGUCAGAGGGAGGUGGAAUUCCGCGUGUAGCGGUGAAAUGCGUAGAUAUGCGGAGGAACACCGAUGGCAGAAGGCAGCCUCCUGGGAUAACACUGACGCUCAUGCACGAAAGCGUGGGGAGCAAACAGGAUUAGAUACCCUGGUAGUCCACGCCCUAAACGAUGUCAACUAGCUGUUGGGGCCUUCGGGCCUUGGUAGCGCAGCUAACGCGCGUGAAGUUGACCGCCUGGGAGUACGGUCGCAAGAUUAAAACUCAAAGGAAUUGACGGGGACCCGCACAAGCGGUGGAUGAUGUGGAUUAAUUCGAUGCAACGCGAAAAACCUUACCUACCCUUGACAUGUCUGGAAUCCCGAAGAGAUUUGGGAGUGCUCGCAAGAGAACCCGGAACUGGGUGUACGCUGGCUGUCGUCAGCUCGUGUCGUGAGAUGUUGGGUUAAGUCCGCAACGAGCGCAACCCUUGUCAUUAGUUGCUACGAGGGCACUCUAAUGAGACCGGUGACAAACGGAAGGAUUGAGGAUGACGUCAGAGUCUCAUGGCCCUUAUGGGUAGGGCUUCACACGUCAUACAAUGGUCGGGACAGAGGGGUCGCCAACCCGCGAGGGGAAGACCAAUCCCAGAAACCCGAUCGUAGUCCGGAUCACCGAUCUGCAACUCGACUGCGUGAAGUCGGAAUCGCUAGUAAUCGCGGAUCAGCAUGUCGCGGUGAAUACGUUCCCGGGUCUUGUACACACCGCCCAUACACCAUGGGAGUGGGUUUUACCAGAAGUAGUUAACCUAACCAUCAAGGAGGGCGAUUACCACGGUAGGAUUCAUGACUGGGGUGAAGUAGUAACAAGGUAA